UACGUAGGCAGCGAGCGUUGUUCGGAAUUACUGGGCGUAAAGAGUGUGUAGGCGGUGCUCCCAGUCUGUUGUGAAAUCUCCCGGCUUAACUGGGAGGGUGCAGCGGAAACUAGAGUGCUAGAGGGUGGGAGAGGUAAGCGGAAUUCCUGGUGUAGCGGUGAAAUGCGUAGAUAUCAGGAGGAACACCUGUGGUGUAGACAGCUUACUGGACCACUUCUGACGCUGAGACACGAAAGCGUGGGUAGCGAACAGG
Molecule: ribosomal RNA, 253 nt
Filed under: uncultured bacterium
Lineage: Bacteria
Description: partial 16S ribosomal RNA
Rfam family: Bacterial small subunit ribosomal RNA
Source: RNAcentral